This is a long non-coding RNA of Mirounga angustirostris (Northern elephant seal), 1392 nucleotides long. RefSeq lists it as uncharacterized. The record is from RefSeq and is a predicted model, not a curated record. The transcript has 3 exons. Lineage: Eukaryota; Metazoa; Chordata; Mammalia; Carnivora; Phocidae.
ACCCGCGCUCCGGGCUUGGACGACCGAGGGGGGCGCUGCAGCCGUUUCCUUCUCGAAGCCCCUCUACACGCUCCCACUAGGGCGGCUUCCUCCUUCGGCUACCGGAUGCGGCCGAGCCUAGACAAGCGUGGAUGGCCUCAUCCAACCAAAUGAAGGCCUUAAUAGGAAGACUGACCUCUUCGGGAGAGGGAAUUCUGCUGGCAGGCCACCUUUGGACUCUUCUCUGGAGCUCUUCCCUGGGUCUCUACCCUGCUGGCCUAUGCUGAUGAUUUUGAACUUGCCAAGCCUCUAUAAUCAUGUUCUGCAGCCGGCCUCCAGUGCAACUGCCCAGUAUUCUCAUUCCUCUCUCCCAUCACUGGCUCGGGUAUGGGGAGGCAGAGGAUGGAAACACAAGUUGGCAUCCUAGUGGGUCAAUGAGAGUGGAGUCAAAGAGCAUGGGACAUGAAGAGAAGCACAAAGGGCAACGGGGUAAGCUGGACGCAAAAGACCACCAGACUGAGCAGCCCAGUCUUCCAGUCCCGAGCGAGCUGGAAGCAAAGGCAGAACUGGCAGUGUGCAGGGAAGUGAGAUGUUUGCUGGCAUUCAGGGCACAGCAGGUCAUCCUUAGAGGUGUUUCCUCAAAUGGCUGCUCAUUUUCUUGCAUGAUGUGAGGCUGCGGCAGCCACAAGAGAGAAGGAUGAGAGCCAUGCUUGCAGGGAGAGUGUUCUGAUAAGUAGAAGCUGGUUCAAGGGAUGGGUCCCACUCACGCACACAGUAGUAAUAGAACUUCACCCAUGGUUGAAGGACUUGCAGCAGGAAGUCAGAGGCCUAGUGUCAUGCCCCUAAGGAGUGCCAAAGAGACACACUACACCCAGACACUCAAUGGCAAGGCUGGAAAGCAAGAAAAGGAAAUGAAGUAUAAAUAAAAGGAGUCAAAACUGCUCUUACUGCAGGCCCUAUAAUUACUAAUCCAGACUAUUCAGGAUAGUUAACAUCAUAGCUAUUAGAAUAAUCAUGGAGUUUGGGGACACCUGGGUGGCUCAGUCAGUUGGGCGUCUGCCUUUGGCUCAGGUCAUGAUCCUGGAGUCCUGGGAUCGAGUCCUGCAUUGGGCUCCUUGCUCAGCAGGGAGCCUGCUUCUCCCUCUCCCUGCUGCUCCCCCUGCUUGUGCUCUUGCUCUCUCUCUGACAAACAAAUAAAUAAAAUCUUAAAAAAAAAAAAAAAAGAAUAGGGGCGCCUGGGUGGCUCAGUCAUUAAGUGUCUGCCUUCGGCUCAGGUCAUGGUCUCAGGGUCCUGGGAUCGAGCCCCGCAUUGGGCUCCCUGCUCAGCAGGAAGCCUGCUUCUCCCUCUCCUACUCCCCCUGCUUGUGUUCCCUCUCUCGCUGUUUCUCUCUGUCAAAUAAAUAAAUAAAAUCU